UACGGAGGGUGCAAACGUUGCUCGGAAUCAUUGGGCGUAAAGCGCACGUAGGUGGCCUGUUAAGUCGGGUGUGAAAUCCCUGGGCUCAACCCAGGAAGUGCACUCGAAACUGGCAGGCUUGAGUACGGUAGGGGCAGAGGGAAUUUCCGGUGGAGCGGUGAAAUGCGUAGAGAUCGGAAAGAACACCAACGGCGAAAGCACUCUGCUGGGCCGACACUGACACUGAGAGACGAAAGCUAGGGGAGCGAAUGGG
Molecule: ribosomal RNA, 253 nt
Filed under: uncultured bacterium
Lineage: Bacteria
Description: partial 16S ribosomal RNA
Rfam family: Bacterial small subunit ribosomal RNA
Source: RNAcentral